Molecule: non-coding RNA, 695 nt
Organism: Lolium perenne
Lineage: Eukaryota; Viridiplantae; Streptophyta; Magnoliopsida; Poales; Poaceae
Source: RefSeq, a predicted model, not a curated record
CCACUCCCCACUCUCUCCUCCACUCCCACACACUCUCCUCCUACCUCUCCCCACGAAAUUUCUGCUCCUCCUAGCUUCAUGGCCGGCCAUGGCCAUGGAAAGCUCACCAAGAUGCAGCUCCUUCCUCCCUCAAGCUCAUCCUCACCAUGAGAGCCUCCCCCUCCAUCUUCUCCCCAACCUUAGAUGGUUUAAUCUCCUCUUCUUCUCCCUCCAUUGCUAAGAUUGGAUCUUGAUGCAGGUGCAUGUUGGUCCAAGCAUGGAGAAGGUUGAGCUAUCCUCAGAUCUGAUGUUCUUGAGCAAAAUCCAAAUCGAGUGGUUCAAAGUUCUGCAGAUAGGGGAUACUUAGUUGUGCCAUGGUGAUACCUAGAGAGGCAAUUGCUAAGUCGUGGCACUCUCAUACCUUUACUAGAUGCGAACAAUUUCGGAGGAGAAGAAGAAGAAGUGGAAUCGGACAAGGAUUUUAUUUGUACUGUGGGAAUUCUUAUUUGAUGGAGUUGAAGAAGUCCAGGGACAAAUAAGCCAAGGCAAGCCAUCUCUUGAUCUCUGAAUGUUUGAUCACAUAUUGUGGUUACUUUGUUGUUGUUCUUGUCUCUCGAUCUAUCUUGUGUUGUUUCUACUUAUGUUGAUGGAGCAUGCUCACCAUGAGCAUGUUUAUUCUCUUUGACACCUCACCUACAACCCCCUUUAGUGAAAUG